Molecule: ribosomal RNA, 253 nt
Filed under: uncultured bacterium
Lineage: Bacteria
Description: partial 16S ribosomal RNA
Rfam family: Bacterial small subunit ribosomal RNA
Source: RNAcentral
UACAGAGGGGGCAAGCGUUGUUCGGAAUUACUGGGCGUAAAGGGCGCGUAGGCGGCCUGUUAAGUCGAACGUGAAAUCCCUGGGCUCAACCCAGGAACUGCGUCCGAUACUGGCAGGCUUGAAUCCGGGAGAGGGAUGUGGAAUUCCAGGUGUAGCGGUGAAAUGCGUAGAUAUCUGGAGGAAUACCGGUGGCGAAGGCGGCAUCCUGGACCGAGAUUGACGCUGAUGAGCGAAAGCUAGGGGAGCAAACGGG